Molecule: non-coding RNA, 113 nt
Organism: Acanthosepion pharaonis
Lineage: Eukaryota; Metazoa; Mollusca; Cephalopoda; Sepiida; Sepiidae
Source: the annotation of a GenBank genome assembly
UACGGUCAUAUAGCGUUGAAACAUCGGUUCCCUUACGAUCAGCGAUGUUAAGCAACGCCGAGCCGGGUCAGUACCUCGAUGGUUGGCCGCUUGGAAAUACUAGGUGUUGUAAG